This is a non-coding RNA of Pelobates cultripes (western spadefoot toad), 209 nucleotides long. Lineage: Eukaryota; Metazoa; Chordata; Amphibia; Anura; Pelobatidae. The record is from the annotation of a GenBank genome assembly.
GAUAUGAAUUCACUAUAAACCGAUGACAGCCGUACCCAAUUACCAGAAACAAGGUGUUUCCUGUUCAGCUAGUAACAAUGUAUAACCCUUAUUCCUGAUGUACAUUCAAACCGUGCCUGGCAUUGCUGGUGAAGACCUGGCUUUCCUACUCCCAGUGCCCAGCCUGAAGGCACAGGUUAGCUGUCAGUGAGGAGGAUCAGGAAGCUGUG